RNAcentral lists this ribosomal RNA (745 nucleotides) under uncultured archaeon. Its description in RNAcentral is "bacterial SSU rRNA". It matches the Rfam family "Archaeal small subunit ribosomal RNA", at positions 53 to 805 of the family's 1478-position model. The record is from RNAcentral.
GCGAGUCAUUGUAGCAUACAAGGCAGACGGCUCAGUAACGCGUAGUCAACCUACCCUAUGGACGGGGAUAACCUCGGGAAACUGAGAAUAAUACCCGAUAGAACAUUAUACCUGGAAUGGUUUAUGUUUCAAAUAAUUUAUUGCCGUAGGAUGGGACUGCGGCCUAUCAGUUUGUUGGUGAGGUAAUGGCCCACCAAGACUAUUACAGGUACGGGCUCUGAGAGGAGUAGCCCGGAGAUGGGUACUGAGACACGGACCCAGGCCCUAUGGGGCGCAGCAGGCGAGAAAACUUUGCAAUGUGCGAAAGCACGACAAGGUUAAUCCGAGUGGUUUCUGCUAAAGGAACCUUUUGUCAGUCCUAGAAACACUGUUGAAUAAGGGGUGGGCAAGUUCUGGUGUCAGCCGCCGCGGUAAAACCAGCACCUCAAGUGGUCAGGAUGAUUAUUGGGCCUAAAGCAUCCGUAGCCUGCUUUGUAAGUUUUCGGUUAAAUCCAUACGCUUAACGUAUGGGCUGCCGGGAAUACUGCAAAGCUAGGGAGUGGGAGAGGUAGACGGUACUCGGUAGGAAGGGGUAAAAUCCUUUGAUCUAUUGAUGACCACCUGUGGCGAAGGCGGUCUACCAGAACACGUCCGACGGUGAGGGAUAAAAGCUGGGGGAGCAAACCGGAUUAGAUACCCGGGUAGUCCCAGCUGUAAACUAUGCAAACUCGGUGAUGCAUUGGCUUGAUGCCAAUGCAGUGCCGCA